UAUGAAUAAAUCCUCAAAUAUUAAGAUUUGUUCUGUUUAAAACAUUCAGAGCUUUAUUUAAAUUAUUAGAUGUACGUAUCUCGAUUAUACAGGUCAAGGUUGCUAUUACAAGACUACAUAUAGGAGUUUUAUUCAACGUUGAGCGUUUACACCAUUUAUUCUGUGUGUGUUAAUUUCCACUGGUUCUGCCAAGUUAGUCUUCUCGUGUGUUACGCUUUAUGGUACGAAGCUGAAUAGGGACUGUGCAAGAAAAGCAUUCGUCGCGAACCAUUUAUUGUAAUCUACUGGUGCUAUUUGGAGUUUGUGCUUGAACACCUGGCGCGUAUUUUCUGACGUCUUUAUGUGGAUUAGGAAACUAAAGAAAAUGUAAACUACACUUCACAAUGAACUUUCAGACCGUUGUCUGUUGUCUCUACAGACUGUAAUAUGUAUGUAGCGUAUCAAACAAACCAAUUGUAACUGAAUGAAAAAUGUUUUAAUUUGUGUAAAAUACGAAGGUAAUGGUAUUUUUAAUGUUUGUAAUAUGUACGGACAAAUCAGCGUGUUUCGUUGAUAAAGAAGUAAUUAAAGAUUUUUUUUUGAACAUUUAUGAAUUGUAUUUUUUAUUUGAUAUUAAAUACUUUAAGGGUUUUUAUAUUUAACUUUACAUUAUCUAGUACGUGAUGUGUUGGUAAAAUUAGAUAAGUCGCAAUAAUUUAAAGGUAUAUCAAAUUUAACUUGUAUAUUCAUAAACCUGAAUAUUGGUUUUGUCAUACAGCUUCGUUAAAGGUUUUGUACCUUAUGUCUUCGAUUUUGAUAAAACUAAACUUAGUUGAUUAGACUAAAUCCUUUUCAAGACUUGUUGCAUUAAACUAUCAUUUCAUCAAAACAAAAACUUAAUUUUCGUAAUAUAAAACUGUUACAAAUAUUGGGGGGGGGGGGAACUGACUGGAGAUGAAACCAACCAACGAGAAGAUCGCAAACAAGGUUUGAUAUUUGUCUUUUUCUUUAUCUGUGUACAUAACCAAAUAGACUUGAUGGUACUUAUUUAUUGUUUUUCUUGUAAAGUAUGUGUAAUUGGUGUUUCGUCAAAAAUUGCCUAUUUUCGGUUCAAUGAAAUAUAAAAACUUCGUAAUAAGUGAAAGUGGAUGAUAAAAAUGACUAAGCAGUAAAACUAAGUACGUGACGUAUUUAUCCAUAAUUGUAAAAUGUACUUUUCUAUUGAUAUUUAAUACACGUGCAUCGUAUUCGUUCUAUAAAUCAAUUUGUAUCUUCAUGUAGGUUUUUCUUAGAUAUUUGUUAAUGUUUAAGGUGGAAGAAUCACAUUGAUUUGUGUUGUAAAUGAACGGGUGGACAGAGAAUGGGCAGUUUCCAUUAUUUUUUCUUUCCUUUUUGUCAUACAAAGGGUGAAAAUAAACUAUUCGAUUAAACAUUUUGAGGAAUAACUUGGUAUAGUUAAUAAACAUGAAUGCUUUUUUUCAUAGAAUUUCUUUAGGAACGAACUUAACAGAACAAAGUAGUAUUCGAAAUUGCUUUGAUGGUUUCUUAGUAUUUUGUCAACAUUUGUUUAUGGCUAUACAGUUAAUAAAAUAAUUUUUCACAGAUGUUAGUCUUAACGAAUCUAUUCAGCAAAGAUAAUGUCUCGAGAAUUUAUUUCGAUUGUGUUCGUACCUUCGCAACGCUAUUGUCCUAAGCGUGUGAACCUAUUCACGGAAAUGUGUUUUUUUUGUACAUGUAACAUGAAGGUGGAGAAACAUAUUAGUAACGUGACCAGAAGUCGUGUUUUCGUCGUACUACCGUACUAGUACUAUGACUGCACAUAAGAUUGGUCUUGUCCUCUUAUAAAUACCUGUAUUUUCAUAUAUUGACGUUCAGAUACAUACAUACAUAUAUAUAUUGAGGAUGUAAUGAUAUGAAAUUGACUCAAACAGGCGUUAGCUAUUAAUUAUUACCGUUGAAAAUUAGAUGGUAUAUAUUCUUCAUGAAUGCCAUUCUUUUCUAUUACACGUUUUCAAAACGCACUCCCGAUUUGUUAAAGGAUAUGAUAUUUUUCAUUAAAUAGCAUAAUAAAUAAAAUUUGAAAUGCAACCAAUUUUUAUUUACGAGUUAGGUGUACUUCUUUGGACUCCAGAAAAUUUUGUCAAUAAGUAUUGGAGGAUGUAAUACUAGAUCUUUUUCGGUAUACUAUAGUAAUAAGUGUUCGAAAUAGUAUUGAAUAAGUUAGAAUAGUAUGAAUAACUUAAUAAACAAUAGUUUUAUAUGUUAAAGUUCGAUGUAUAAUAUAGUAAUAUUUGAUUAUAGCCGAGUGUGUAAAGAUUUCGGAAACAAAUCGUACGCAAAAUUGUUGUCUUAAGAAUUAUCUAGCUGAGAAAUUCUCUAAAGGUUAAUUUAGUAGCAGUAGGCAGAUUACUAAAUAUAUCGUGAUGGAGUUACGUGGUUAUCUGGUAUAUUUCCGAGGUUAAUCAGUUUAGUAAUAAAUUAUGAUUAAAGGUAUUUGCCGAAGUCGGUUAAGAGAUUUGCCUAUUCUGUAAAUUAAGCUUCCAAGUAUUAUUAUACUAAAGUGCUGUUUUUAAUAAAGAGUUAAACAUUCAAAUAGAACGUUAAAUGUAAGUAAUGUGAAUUUUUGAAAUUACCAUUACCUUUUCAUUCAACGAAAACGUAGCUUUGUUUAAGUAUAAAACAAAUAAGUAUUUAUUAUUUUAUAUGAUUUGCGGAGUAACAAACUUGCCAUCAAAAGUUUAGUACGAUGUUUGUAAAAAACAAGUAAAAUAUUAAACGAGCUUUUUCUUUUGAGUUCACUACAAGUCGCAUAAUCAUCUAGGAUCAAAAUAAAAUCCCAAGAAUGUUAAAAUUAUGUUCGAACAGAAAAGUGUUUACAUCAGAAACGUACUUGUAUAUGCAUUAAACAGUAACAACAUUCCCUAGAUGCAAUAGAAAAUAUUCACUUUUUAUAAAGUUUCAGAAAGAACAAAUAGUUUAGCGUAAUUCUUCCUUUCACUGUUCAUUUUUGUGAUAAAUUGAUAAUUUGGAAUAGGUAAGUUACAAUUGCCAUUCUCGAAAAUUUAGGCAAUAAUGUUAAUAACAUAUUUAGAAUCUUUGUAUCCUUUGAUUAGAUAUUUCGUAUAAUAUUCUUUACAUAGUAAUUUAGCGUAAAUAUAAAACUCAGUUAAGUAUUAAGAAUAAUGUAUGUAGAUAUGUUUAAUGUUAGAAAACUACAUACAACUAUGUUCGAUUUUAUAGAUAUGUAAAAGUUGUGCUACAAGAGAUCAAAAUAAUGUAAGUUAAAAUGAUACUCAAACACAGAGGCGUAUAUGCAAUUUGAAGUAUGCUAAACAGCAAAUGAACAAAUGAUACGUUUAAUAAUAUGGAAAUAUUUAUACUGGAGUAACUUCCUAAGGCAUAUUCACAUGUAGGAAAUAGAACAUGCAACGUUAUUUUACUGUUCAAGGAAUAAGUUUAUUAUUCAUAAUUUAUUAUAAGAAUUUUGCAUUUGCUUUAAGUAGGAAGAUAUAUUUUUCAUUCAAACCAAUUUAAGAAAUUACAUUUUGGUGUAUAACGUGAAAGUUUCACAGUUUUUGAUUUUCUAGAUGUGUAGUAGUUGUCCUAUAAUGUUUGAAAAUUAUGACCGUAAAUAAAUGGAGAUUAGAAUAUAACAAACGCUUGUAUGUUGCUAUAAAAGGUAAUACAAUACUUUGUGACAUUCGUGUGAAAGUGUUAAUCAUAGAAUAACAUUAGGGAGAGAAACACACAUAAUUAGAUUUGCUAUUACAGUGACAGAAGCUUAAAUAGAAAGUUCUGGUAAUACUUCAAAACAUGAGGCAUGAAAUGGCCAUUGGCGAAACGUAUAGGUUAUUAGUAGCUUAUCCACGGUUUUCAACGAGACUGAUAGAUAUUUGGUAUAUUGAAUAACAUUCGUCACAUAGUCAUGUAGGGUGAAACGGAAACUCUAUAGGUUUAUGUUGAAACAAAAGAGUAUAUAGAAAAUUUGAAGUGUGCUAAAUAGCAACAGAACAAAUGAUACUUCUAAUAAUAUGGAAAUAUUUAUAGUAGAGUGACUUCCUAAGGCAUAUUCACAUGUAGGAAAUAUAUCAUGCAACGGUAAUUUACUGUUCAAGGAAUAAGUUGAUUAUUUAUAAUUUAUUGUAAGUAUUUUGCAUUUGCUUUGAAGUAGGAAGAUAUAUUUUUCAUUCACACCAACUUAGGCAAAGAUAUUUUGGUGUAUAACGUGAUAGCGUCAGUGUCUGAUUUUCUAGAUGUGUAGUAGUUGUCCUAAAUGUUUGAAAACCAUGAUCGUAAAUAAAUAGAGAUCUUAAAACAUAACUGAUUAGAAUAUAACAAACGCUUGUAUGUUGCUAUAAAAGGUACUACAAUACUUUGUGAGAUUCAUGUGAAAGUGUUAAUCAUAGAAUAACAUUAUGGAGAGAAACACACAUAAUUAUAUCUGCUAUUACAAUGACAGAAGCUUAAAUAGAAAGUUCUGGUAAUAUUUAAAAACAUGAGGCAUGAAGUGGCCGUUGGCAAAACGUAUAGGUUCUUAGUAGCUUAUCCACGGUUUUCAAUGAGACUAAUAGAUAUUUGGUAUAUUGAAUAACAUUCGUCACUUAGUCAUGUAGGGUGAAACUGAAAUUCUAUAAGGUUUAUGUUGAAACAAAAGAGUGUAUAGAAAAUUUGAAAUGUGCUAUUUAGCAACAGAACAAAUGAUACUUCUAAUAAUAUGGAAAUAUUUAUAGUAGAGUGACUUCCUAAGGCAUAUUCACAUGUAGGAAAUAUAUCAUGCAACGGUAAUUUACUGUUCAAGGAAUAAGUUGAUUAUUUAUAAUUUAUUGUAAGUAUUUUGCAUUUGCUUUGAAGUAGGAAGAUAUAUUUUUCAUUCACACCAAUUUAGGAAAUUACAUUUUGGUGUAUAACGUGAAAGUUUCACAGUUUUUGAUUUUCUAUAUGUGUAGUAGUUGUCCUAUAAUGUUUGAAAACUAUGACCGUAAAUAAAUGGAGAUUAGAAUAUAACAAACGCUUGUAUGUUGCUAUAAAAGGUACUACAAUACUUUGUGGGAUUCAUGUGAAAGUGUUAAUCAUAGAAUAACAUUAUGGAGAGAAACACACAUGAUUAGAUUUGCUAUUACAAUGACAGAAGCUUAAAUACAAAGUUCUGGUAAUAUUUCAAAACAUGAGGCAUGAAAUGGCCGUUGGCAAAACUUAUAGGUUCUAAGUAGCUUAUCCACGGUUUUCAAUGAGACUAAUAUCAAUGAGACUAAUAUAUAUUUGGUAUAUUGAAUAAUAUUCGUCACAUAGUCAUGUAGGGUGAAACAGAAACUCUAUAGGUUUAUGUUGAAACAAAAGAGUGUAUAGAGAAUUUGAAGUGUGCUAAAUAGCUAGAAAACGAAAGAUUUGUAUUUUGAUACUAGAGUACCUUAACUAGGUACGUUUACUUAUGGAAAAACAUAGUCUAUUGGAAAUCUACUGUUGAAGUACGAAAAAGUAUGUUGGUUAUUUAUAAUCAGUUGUAACGAAUUUUGCUCUUGAUUUGAAGUAGUAAACCAUGUUUGUCAUUCGCAGUAAUUUAGGCAAUGAUAUUUUGGUCUACAUGGUAUGUAACGUAAAGGUUCGACAAUGUUUUAUUUUCCAAAUGUAUACUAGCUGUAAUAUAGUAAUGCAUAACCAUGAACGUAAAUAAGUGAUAAGUUCUUUAUUUAGGAAAGUAGGGUUGAAAUAAUAGCUUUUUUGGUUUCAAAUAUUACAGUAAAGCUGUUUCUGACGGCAUGAAAUGAAUGUAUAACACGAUGUAGAGGCACAAACAUAAUUAGAUUUGUAAUUACAGUGACGAAGGUUUAAAUAAAAAUAUCUCUCAAUGUUUCACGAGGAACAAGAUGACCGCAGGGAAAACAUUUAGUAUCUUCGUAGCAUUAAUAGUUUAUAGAAAUUUACAAAGAACUUAUAAACGACCAGCAUUGAGAUCGCAAUAGAUAUGUGGUAUAAGAGUUGAAAACGAUGCAAGUAAAUGAGUGAUGACUGAUUUGAAAUAAAACAAACGCUUUUCUAUUGGUAGAACAAGCACAAUACUUUGAAUAUGAUCAAUACAUGCGAGUGUGUUAACUUUUACCCUCCAAUUUAAUGCCGAAAAAUGAUUAGUAGAAAGUUUCAUUACUUGUACAUACAUUACUUAUUUUGAAUUAAGGUGGUGUUAGUACAGAGGUUUCUUUGAUCGAAAGAUAUUGCAUAGAAAAGUUUGCUCAUUUGAAUGAAAGUGGACAUUGAAACGGAAACUAAUGUUUAUUUCCACAAAAUCAUGCACUGAAGUAAGUGACGGAGACCGGUAAACAAAUAAUUCAUGUAAAUAAAACAAACGUUUAUAUAUUGGAAUAACAUAUAAUACUUUGUGAGAUAUACGUGCAAGUAUCAAAUUUUACUAUAAUGAUGAAACAUGGUCAAAAGAACGUUUCAGCAUUUGUAAAAGCAUUAUUUAUUAUGAGUUAAUGUGAUAUUCGAUUAUAGCUUACUCUGAUGGCGUUAGUAUUGUUUAGAAUAGUUGAUUGAAAAUGAACACUAAUGUAUAGUUGUGAAGAGCUAGCGUG
Molecule: long non-coding RNA, 6548 nt
Organism: Limulus polyphemus (Atlantic horseshoe crab)
Lineage: Eukaryota; Metazoa; Arthropoda; Merostomata; Xiphosura; Limulidae
Exons: 3
Source: RefSeq, a predicted model, not a curated record